Molecule: ribosomal RNA, 253 nt
Filed under: uncultured bacterium
Lineage: Bacteria
Description: partial 16S ribosomal RNA
Rfam family: Bacterial small subunit ribosomal RNA
Source: RNAcentral
UACGGAGGGUGCAAGCGUUAUCCGGAUUUACUGGGUUUAAAGGGUGCGUAGGUGGGUUUGUAAGUCAGCGGUGAAAUCUCCAGGCUUAACCUGGAAAUUGCCAUUGAUACUAUAGAUCUUGAAUUAUCUGGAGGUAAGCGGAAUAUGUCAUGUAGCGGUGAAAUGCUUAGAUAUGACAUAGAACACCAAUUGCGAAGGCAGCUUACUACGGGUACAUUGACACUGAGGCACGAAAGCGUGGGGAUCAAACAGG